UAAUCUCUUCUUUCCCCAGUCCUCUCUCUCCCUCCCGGUCUCUGCUCCAUCUCUCUCAUUCUCCUCCCUCUAUCUCCAAUGCAUCAGCCACGUCGUGAAGCUCUUCUAUCUCUCUCCAUUGCAGAGGGACGGAGAUGGAUUCAUGAUGAUGUCUGCAUGGAUCGGUUCAGCAAUCACGGGCUGCAAAUGUGGUCACUGGAGAUGAGAGACAGAGAAGACGAGGGUUUGGGUUGCACCAAAUCUACUGGAAACAAUGGCUGUCAGCAAAGUCGGGGAGUUUUUUUUAUUUUCUUAACAGGGGGUGAUGCUGGCCGUGGACCCUGGUGGAUUCGGGCAGUGCUAGUGUAUUCCGGUGCUGCAGAUGAAGAUGACGGUGAUGAACCACCUCUGGUGAGAUUGAUGUGGUAAUUUUGAUGGCACAUUUUAGUAAAUGCUAAUGCUGUACAAAGAUCGACUCAUUUUUAUGGCUUGUCCCAAAAUUUCGGCACUUGCAUGUAAGUUCAUCUCCGGCUCAGUUAUAUCUAAUGGAUGCAAACAUUAAGAUUUCAGUACUUUUGUUUGUUGAGAUUAUUUGUUGUUUAUGUUACUAUUGAUAUUGUUGUAGUUGAGCUAUAAGAGAAUUUUUUGACAUUAAAGAUGAUUUUGUUGAGAGUCAUUUGAUAGCACAUCAUCAAAGCGAUUGGUUAGAUGAUGAUUUGUUUUCAUUUAGUAUGAUCAUGGUUCAUAAUAUCCGUAUCGUAUUGGUCAAUGCAGCUACAUCAGAUCUGUGUCGGCCUGAUACAAUGAUUGUAUCAAGCCAAUAUAGCCAUAAUGGCCAGAAUUUUCUUUUCCUUUAAAAAAAAAAAAUUAUUCCAACCAUGAAGGAAACUUAGAAAGACAUUUUAGACUAGGCCUGCACCUAUUUUGGGGAUCAAAACAAAAGAUUUUAGUGCAAUUUGAUGAGUCCAGUCGGUGGGCUAUUGCAGGAAAAAUUGGCAAAGGGUAAAUCAAUACAUUUUUUUUUUCGUGUUUACAUCUUUUGUUUCUUGUAUUUCAAUGUAAUGGAACUUGAUCCAUGAAAUCAAGCUUAUUUGUGUCUAAGUAAGGUCCAUUUAAUUGACAUUUAGCUAGUCAGGCCGACAGAUGAUUUUCUUAUCAAAGAAUGAUCUGAUACACUAUUAUAUACAUACAAGACAAAAUGAUAAAUUCUUGAAUUUCCUUUUUCUUCCACUUGUAUUUUACACUAUUUUUUUUGGUUUUUAUUUUAUUUUAUUUUAUUAUUAUUAUUAUUAUUUACUGACACAGUCUAAUACAGUCUGCUAGGGGUUGACAUAGAUAUGAUAUGCCUGUGUUGUGUCAGUUUUCGGCCAGUCCGAUAUGCCCUAUGAUGCCGAUACUCAGUACCAUGAACAUAAGAAGGGGAUUCUGUCUAUGCUUAGCCAUGUAGAGAAAUUGAGUAGGAGCUAGUAGAGUGGUUGCAAAGAUUAUUUGUUUAUUUCUCUGAUGAAUUUAUGAAAUUAGUUUUUCUUUUAUUGUAGAAGAUUUUCUUUUUGCUUUAUUUUCAGAACAAUUGAUAACUAAUAUAUUAUAGUGAAAGGGUGUUUGGGUGCUUUUAAGCAUGUUAUAUGUGAAGUUUGAUAGGAAAAAAAGAUCUUCUAUUGGUAAAAUCCUAAGCAGGCUGACAUUAGAUUAUGAGAGUUGUUUAUGCAUUCUGGCAUGCUUGGGCUCAGUUUUUCCCAAACCCCUUGACAAGUUAGGCAUAAUGUGGCAUUGUGAAUGAAGCAUGUGAGCCUGAUGCUUAUCAUGGUGUUGAGCAAUUGUUUCCAACACAGGCCAAGGCGCAGAGUUAUCCCUUCGAGGCAUUGAUCCUUUCGAGUCCAUUGCAAUGUGGCUCCUGAGAUUUUCAUUUGACUUCUUUGGUUCCAGAUAUCCCUUCCAGUUUCGUUACUACCCUAAUCUAACAGUCGAACCUUUUUCUUGAAUGCGUGUCAUGUUUUGUACUUUAAUGGAGUGGUUUCUAAUGGUGGCGCUUUUUUCUGUUGUGGAGUUCAGUAGAAUGGAUGGCAGGACAACACUCUUUUCUUGUGUUAGUUUUUGUUAUUCAUCAUCUAUGUUUUCAGCAUUAUAAGAUUUUAGUAACAGUGGAGAAAUGCCUUUCUUGAUC
This is a long non-coding RNA of Magnolia sinica, 2143 nucleotides long. RefSeq lists it as uncharacterized. The transcript is spliced from 2 exons. The record is from RefSeq and is a predicted model, not a curated record. NCBI's taxonomy places the organism in Eukaryota, Viridiplantae, Streptophyta, Magnoliopsida, Magnoliales, Magnoliaceae.